RNAcentral lists this ribosomal RNA (189 nucleotides) under uncultured Staphylococcus sp. RNAcentral's name for it is "partial 16S ribosomal RNA". It matches the Rfam family "Bacterial small subunit ribosomal RNA", at positions 151 to 334 of the family's 1533-position model. The record is from RNAcentral. Lineage: Bacteria; Bacillati; Bacillota; Bacilli; Caryophanales; Staphylococcaceae.
GGGAAACCGGAGCUAAUACCGGAUAAUAUUUUGAACCGCAUGAUUCAAAAGUGAAAGACGGUCUUGCUGUCACUUAUAGAUGGAUCCGCGCUGCACUAGCUAGUUGGUAAGGUAACGGCUUACCAAGGCAACGAUGCAUAGCCGACCUGAGAGGGUGAUCGGCCACACUGGAACUGAGACACGGUCCAG